RNAcentral lists this ribosomal RNA (459 nucleotides) under Triticum aestivum (bread wheat). RNAcentral's name for it is "partial small subunit ribosomal RNA". The record is from RNAcentral. Lineage: Eukaryota; Viridiplantae; Streptophyta; Magnoliopsida; Poales; Poaceae.
AUGACUCAGGAACCUUUGUAUCCCGAGGGACACCCUAAGAGAGUCGUGCAAGAUUCUCAGAGAACUAAUGUUGACGCACCUACUCCUUCUAAGAAGAAAAAGAAAAAUGAUAGGACUUCGCAUGCUUCUAGUGAACCUGUUGUUGACACAUCUGAGAAUCCCAAUGAUAUUUCUAUUUCUGAUGCUGAAACACAAUCUGGUAAUGAACAUGAACUUAGUGAUAAUGUUAAUGAUGAUGUUCAUGUUGAUGCUCAACCUAGCAAUAACAAUGAUGUAGAUAUUGAACCUGCUGUUGAUAUUGAUAACCCACAAUCAAAGAAUCAACGUUAUGAUAAGAAAGACUUUGUUGCUAGGAAGCACGGUAAAGAAAGAGAACCAUGGGUUCAGAAACCCAUGCCUUUCCUCCCAAACCAUCCAAGAAAAAGGAUGAUGAGGAUUUUGAGCGCUUUGCUAAAAUGA